This is a long non-coding RNA of Anoplophora glabripennis (Asian longhorned beetle), 371 nucleotides long. RefSeq lists it as uncharacterized. The transcript is spliced from 2 exons. The record is from RefSeq and is a predicted model, not a curated record. Lineage: Eukaryota; Metazoa; Arthropoda; Insecta; Coleoptera; Cerambycidae.
CAUACAGGUAGACAGUUACCUACUAUAAAUACUUGAAAAAUUUUUAGGUGCUAUCAGUUGUCGUGUACUCGCCAUAUUAUUAAAAAAACUGAUAAAAAUGAACUUCUUCAACAUCUUCUUCAUUGUCGUCUUGGCCCUUGCGGCUCUUCAGCAGACGGCCUCGGCCAAAUGCAUCGCUAAUGGCAAUGGUUGUCAACCUAGUGGAAGUCAAGGAAACUGUUGCUCAGGAUACUGCCACAAGCAGCCUGGAUGGGUUGCUGGUUACUGCAGAAGGAAGUAGUUUCGUCAAACAUUUGGAAUAUUACGAAAAACUAUGACGUUAAUGAAAUUAUGUCGACAGUAUUAAAAUAAUAAAGAGUUUAGAUAAAAAA